UGGGGAAUAUUGCACAAUGGGCGCAAGCCUGAUGCAGCCAUGCCGCGUGUAUGAAGAAGGCCUUCGGGUUGUAAAGUACUUUCAGCGAGGAGGAAGGCGUUGUGGUUAAUAACCGCAACGAUUGACGUUACUCGCAGAAGAAGCACCGGCUAACUCCGUGCCAGCAGCCGCGGUAAUACGGAGGGUGCAAGCGUUAAUCGGAAUUACUGGGCGUAAAGCGCAAGCAGGCGGUCUGUCAAAUCGGAUGUGAAAUCCCCGGGCUCAACCUGGGAACUGCAUCCGAAACUGGCAGGCUAGAGUCUUGUAGAGGGGGGUAGAAUUCCAGGUGUAGCGGUGAAAUGCGUAGAGAUCUGGAGGAAUACCGGUGGCGAAGGCGGCCCCCUGGACAAAGACUGACGCUCAGGUGCGAAAGCGUGGGGAGCAAACA
This 427-nucleotide ribosomal RNA is filed under the name uncultured bacterium. RNAcentral describes it as "partial 16S ribosomal RNA". It matches the Rfam family "Bacterial small subunit ribosomal RNA", at positions 355 to 774 of the family's 1533-position model. The record is from RNAcentral.